AUGGCGGACGCUGGCUUGCGCCGCGUGGUUCCCAGCGACCUGUAUCCCCUCGUGCUCGGCUUCCUGCGCGAUAAUCAACUCUCGGAGGUGGCCAAUAAGUUCGCCAAAGCGACAGGAGCUACACAGCAGGAUGCCAGUGCCUCUUCCCUCUUAGACAUCUAUAGCUUCUGGCUCAACAGGUCUGCCAAGGCCCCAGAGCGAAAGUUACAGGCAAAUGGACCAGUGGCUAAGAAAGCUAAGAAGAAGGUCUCAUCCAGUGACAGUAGUGAGGACAGCAGCGAGGAGGAGGAGGAAGUUCAAGGGCCUCCAGCAAAGAAGGCUGCUGUACCUGCCAAGCGAGUCGGUCUGCCUCCUGGGAAGGCUGCAGCCAAAGCAUCAGAAAGCAGCAGCAGUGAAGAGUCCAGUGAUGAUGAGGAGGAGGAGGACCAAAAGAAACAGCCUCUCCAGAAGGGAGUUAAGCCCCAAGCCAAGGCAGCCAAAGCUCCUCCUAAGAAGGCCAAGAGCUCUGAUUCUGAUUCUGACUCAAGCUCCGAGGAUGAGUCACCAAAGAACCAGAAGCCAAAGAUAACACCUGUGGCAGCUAAAGCUCAGGCUAAAGCUCCUCCCAAACCAGCUCAAGCAGCACCUAAAGUAGCCAAUGGUAAAGCAGCCAGUAGCAGCAGCAGCAGCAGCAGCAGCAGUGAUGACUCAGAGGAGGAAAAGGCAGCAGCCACCCCCAAAAAGACUGUACCUAAAAAGCAAGUUGUGGCCAAGGCCCCAGUGAAAGCAGUUGCCACCCCUACCCAGAAGAGUUCCAGCAGUGAGGAUUCCUCCAGUGAAGAGGAAGAGGAGCAAAAAAAAAAAAAAAAAAAAACCCUGAAAAAUAAACUAGGUCCCUACAGUUCAGUUCCCCCACCUUCUGCUCCACCACCAAAGAAGUCUGUGGGAACCCAGCCUCCCAAGAAAGCUGUGGAGAAGCAGCAGCCUGUGGAAAGCAGUGAAGACAGCAGUGAUGAGUCUGAUUCAAGUUCUGAAGAAGAGAAGAAACCCCCAACUAAGGCAGUCAUCUCUAAAGCAGCCACUAAACCACCUCCAGCAAAGAAAGCAACAGAGAGCUCUUCAGACAGCUCAGACUCUGACAGCUCUGAGGACGAUGAAGCUCCUUCCAAGCCAGCUGGUACCACCAAGAAUUCUUCAAAUAAGCCAGCUGUCACCAUCAAGUCACCUGCAGCAAAGCCAGCUGCAACCCCCAAGCAACCUGUGGGCGGUGGCCAGAAGCCUCCCAUGAGAAAGGCUGACAGCAGCUCCAGUGAGGAAGAGAGCAGCUCCAGUGAGGAGGAGAAGACAAAGAAGAUGGUGGCCACCAAUAAGCCCAAGGUGACUGCCAAAGCAGCUCCACCUCUGCCUGCCUAGCAGGCUCCUCAGGGUAGUAGGGACAGCAGCUCUGAUUCAGACAGCUCCAGCAGUGAGGAGGAGGAGGAGGAAGAGAAGACAUCUAAGUCUGCAGUUAAGAAGAAGCCACAGAAGGUAGCAGGAGGUGCAGCCCCUUCCAAGCCAGCCUCUGCAAAGAAAGGAAAGACAGAGCAGCAGCAGUUCUUCCUCUGAUGACUCCAGUGAGGAGGAGGAGGAAGAGAAGCCCAAGGGCAAGGGCUCUCCCAGACCACAAGCCCCCAAGGCCAAUGGCACCUCUGCACUGACUGCCCAGAAUGGAAAAGAAGCUAAGAACAGCGAGGAAGAGGAAGAAGAAAAGAAAAAGGCAGCAGUGGCAGUUUCCAAAUCAGGUUCAUUAAAGAAGCGGAAGCAGAAUGAGGCUGCCAAGGAGGCAGAGACUCCUCAGGCCAAGAAGAUAAAGCUUCAGACCCCUAACACAUUUCCAAAAAGGAUGAAAGGAGAAAUCAACUUCUCUCUCCUCCUUUUUCCUCCUCCACCUGAAUAG
Rhinopithecus roxellana (golden snub-nosed monkey) is the source of this 1915-nucleotide RNA transcript. It is a transcript of the gene named nucleolar and coiled-body phosphoprotein 1 pseudogene, with no coding region annotated. The transcript is spliced from 3 exons. NCBI's taxonomy places the organism in Eukaryota, Metazoa, Chordata, Mammalia, Primates, Cercopithecidae. The record is from RefSeq and is a predicted model, not a curated record.